UUGAGCUUGAUCCUGGCUCAGAUUGAACGCUGGCGGCAGGCCUAACACAUGCAAGUCGAGCGGCAGCACGAGGAAGCUUGCUUUCUUGGUGGCGAGCGGCGGACGGGUGAGUAAUACAUGGGAAUCUGCCCGAUAGUGGGGGACAACGUUUCGAAAGGAACGCUAAUACCGCAUACGUCCUACGGGAGAAAGCAGGCUUAGGCUUGCGCUAUCGGAUGAGCCCAUGUCGGAUUAGCUUGUUGGUGAGGUAAUGGCUCACCAAGGCGACGAUCCGUAACUGGUCUGAGAGGAUGAUCAGUCACACCGGAACUGAGACACGGUCCGGACUCCUACGGGAGGCAGCAGUGGGGAAUAUUGGACAAUGGGGGCAACCCUGAUCCAGCCAUGCCGCGUGUGUGAAGAAGGCCUUCGGGUUGUAAAGCACUUUCAGCGAGGAGGAAAGCAGUAAGGUUAAUACCCUUAUUGUGUGACCGUACUCGCAGAAGAAGAC
This 490-nucleotide ribosomal RNA is filed under the name Halomonas sp. S-C21. RNAcentral's name for it is "bacterial SSU rRNA". It matches the Rfam family "Bacterial small subunit ribosomal RNA", at positions 1 to 492 of the family's 1533-position model. Lineage: Bacteria; Pseudomonadati; Pseudomonadota; Gammaproteobacteria; Oceanospirillales; Halomonadaceae. The record is from RNAcentral.